RNAcentral lists this long non-coding RNA (777 nucleotides) under Cyanoderma ruficeps (rufous-capped babbler). Its description in RNAcentral is "lncRNA (ENSCRFG00000002078.1)". The record is from RNAcentral. Lineage: Eukaryota; Metazoa; Chordata; Aves; Passeriformes; Timaliidae.
UCACUCCUGCCACUUCGCAGGAAGCCAUCUCAGCACCUUUCCCUUGUGAAGACCCGGGAGUGCAAAAGUGUCCUUCUGCGGGGACCUUCCCACUGCUACCGGCAGCUCUAUCCUUCUCUCUCCGCUGCUUCCCUGCAAGCGUGAAGCCUCCAUCCUCUCCGCUCUCCGGCUAUUGUGGCGGCCCUGCUGCUUUCCUGAGUUCCCUGCUCGGUGUUGCAGAAGAAAGCAGCAUACUCAGGGCAGUACACAGCUCUCCAGAGGCUGCUCUGCUGGGUCUGUCCAUCACUGGUUGUGGAAGCAGCAGGAGUAAGGAUGGAAGCGGUCAGCCGGAAACGUCUCUGAAGCAAGGAGGUGGUUGCAGCCGGAGUGCCAGGGAUUCUCCGGGGAAUCUGGGAAAUCCAGGAAAACACCUUAGCAUGGUUUUAAUGCCUCUCUAGAGGCAUUGUCCAGAGCAGGGAUUAAGUUAGAUUCAGGGCUGGCUUUCAAGAUGCAGCGUGUUAUGGUUUCAUUUUCUGCUGGUUCAUGGAUGAUGUCUCCUCAGGGUCAGGUUUUCCCAAAGCAGCAGAAACUUUAGAGAGUCUGAUUUAAUUAAUGGUUCUGAUCGAUCUGAAACAUGGAGUGUGUGUAUGUGUGUAUGUAUUAUAUAUGUGUUCAUCUACAUAUCUGGGCGGGGUGCAAAGAAUAUUUUCUGAAGGUAUGUUUAGGCAUUUCUGCAUACAUCCAUCUGUAAUAUUGUCCUGAGUCCUUAAAAUUUAUUAUUUCAGCUGUGAAUGCGUG